UAAAAUGCGUCUCCCAAGCUUUCCCAUCUCAAAGGCUCGAAACCCCCACGCCCGAAUAAUCUCCGAGCUCCCCAUUUCCUCCUAGGGUUCGUGCUCCUCCACUCGCGCAAUCCCUAAGCUCUCUCUGCCGCGAGCUCUCUGUCGGCUCCCAUGGCGGCGGUAGCGACGGCGGCCCCUCGGGGCCGGCAGCCCCAGGGUCGGGGGGUCGACGACGAGAACCUGGUUUUCGAGACGAGCCCCGGGGUGGAGGCCAUCACGAGCUUCGACCAGAUGGGGAUCCGCGACGACCUCCUCCGAGGGAUCUACGCCUACGGCUUCGAGAAGCCCUCCGCCAUCCAGCAGCGGGCCGUGAUUCCCAUUAUCCAGGGCCGCGACGUCAUCGCCCAGGCCCAAUCUGGUACCGGAAAGACCUCCAUGAUCGCCCUCUCCGUCUGCCAGAUGGUAGACACCACCUCGAGGGAAGUUCAGGUGUUGAUCCUUUCACCCACGAGAGAACUUGCUGCCCAGACUGAGAAAGUGAUAUUGGCUAUUGGUGACUACAUAAAUGUACAAGCCCAUGCAUGCAUUGGCGGGAAAAGCAUAGGCGAGGAUAUUAGAAAACUAGAGUUUGGAGUUCACGUGGUUUCAGGGACACCGGGCAGAGUCUGUGAUAUGAUCAAGAGAAGGACUUUACGCACAAGAGCCAUCAAGCUCCUGGUCCUCGAUGAAUCUGAUGAGAUGUUGAGCAGAGGUUUCAAGGACCAAAUAUAUGACAUAUACCGAUAUCUUCCUCCAGAACUUCAGGUCGUUCUGAUUUCUGCAACACUUCCUCAUGAAAUAUUGGAGAUGACCAGCAAAUUUAUGACUGAUCCCGUUAGAAUACUUGUCAAGCGUGAUGAGUUGACAUUGGAGGGGAUCAAACAAUUCUUCGUUGCUGUCGAGAGAGAGGAAUGGAAGUUUGAUACAUUGUGUGAUCUAUAUGACACCCUCACUAUUACCCAAGCUGUUAUUUUCUGUAACACGAAAAGAAAGGUUGAUUGGUUGACUGAAAAAAUGCGCAGCAAUAACUUCACGGUAUCUUGUAUGCAUGGUGACAUGCCUCAGAAGGAGAGGGAUGCGAUCAUGGCAGAGUUCAGGUCAGGCGCAACCCGUGUGUUGAUUACAACAGAUGUAUGGGCUCGCGGGCUUGAUGUUCAGCAGGUUUCUCUAGUGAUAAAUUAUGACCUUCCCAACAAUCGAGAACUUUACAUACAUCGGAUUGGUCGCUCCGGUCGUUUUGGUCGUAAGGGUGUGGCAAUAAACUUUGUGCGCAAGGAUGACAUCAGGAUAUUAAGAGAUAUUGAACAAUAUUAUAGUACUCAGAUUGAUGAAAUGCCAAUGAAUGUGGCCGAUCUUAUUUGAAAACCAGAUGAUACGAAGCUUACAAGCAGGUACUGAAGGGAUACACUGGGGAGCAGUCUCUCUGCGGAUGUUCUUUUCUGUGUGUUCUGGUGCUGGUCAGGUUUGCUAUUUUUCUGCAAACGAAGACUUGCUGGUUGCUGGUCACUGGGAGCAAGCGGAUCAUGAUUGGCUUUGCUUUUGAAAGUAAUGUCAAGAUGUUAAGAUGUGCCUGUUUUGAUGGACGGCACAUAUAAAUACAAGCUGAUGACUUCUUCUUUAUUACAGACUCGAUUUGAGUGGAUGUUUUUAUUGUAGCGACAAUGAUGUGCUACCAUCAAACAUUCGAGUCUUUGAUAGGGUCUGAAUUGAAAUAGCUUUCGCUUUUAAUGGUCGGGCUGCACAAUUUGCAAAAUACUGUGAGGGAUUCGUACAGGAAAGAGGUCAGCUACGAGGUUUAAGCUAUAAUAUCUGCUUCUGUUGGAACUUGUAAACCGUCAAAACAGCAGUUUAUCUGCCUCCCUAUUCAUGGGGAGUUGUUCAGGGCUUUGAUGUUCACGGUAGGAGUGCUGAAGCUGGUAAUUGGACAUCAAUCAGGCUGAUGGGUAUCAGGAAGAAGAUUCGAAGUCAGAUGCCCUCUGCAUUCUCUGUUAUAUCAUCUUCAUGGAUCUCAAUAAAAGUCACUUCAUGUUUACUCAGAUUCUGUCUAUAAAACCACUGAGAGAGGAGUCCUUCAAAUAAACAAAGUCAUAGGUGGAAAUCUCUGCAUAGAGGCGACAGAUUCUCAUCCCUGAUAUAUAGCAUUUUCUCCUUUCAUUUUUUUUUC
Phoenix dactylifera (date palm) is the source of this 2182-nucleotide non-coding RNA. The record is from RefSeq and is a predicted model, not a curated record. Lineage: Eukaryota; Viridiplantae; Streptophyta; Magnoliopsida; Arecales; Arecaceae.